AUUGAACGCUGGCGGCAGGCCUAACACAUGCAUGUCGAGCGGUAGCACAGAGAGCUUGCUCUCGGGUGACGAGCGGCGGACGGGUGAGUAAUGUCUGGGAAACUGCCUGAUGGAGGGGGAUAACUACUGGAAACGGUAGCUAAUACCGCAUAACGUCGCAAGACCAAAGAGGGGGACCUUCGGGCCUCUUGCCAUCAGAUGUGCCCAGAUGGGAUUAGCUAGUAGGUGGGGUAAUGGCUCACCUAGGCGACGAUCCCUAGCUGGUCUGAGAGGAUGACCAGCCACACUGGAACUGAAACACGGUCCAGACUCCUACGGGAGGCAGCAGUGGGGAAUAUUGCACAAUGGGCGCAAGCCUGAUGCAGCCAUGCCGCGUGUGUGAAGAAGGCCUUCGGGUUGUAAAGCACUUUCAGCGAGGAGGAAGGCGGUGAGGUUAAUAACCUCAUCGAUUGACGUUACUCGCAGAAGAAGCACCGGCUAACUCCGUGCCAGCCGCCGCGGUAA
Molecule: ribosomal RNA, 504 nt
Filed under: uncultured bacterium
Lineage: Bacteria
Description: partial 16S ribosomal RNA
Rfam family: Bacterial small subunit ribosomal RNA
Source: RNAcentral